This 480-nucleotide ribosomal RNA is filed under the name uncultured bacterium. Its description in RNAcentral is "bacterial SSU rRNA". It matches the Rfam family "Bacterial small subunit ribosomal RNA", at positions 29 to 521 of the family's 1533-position model. The record is from RNAcentral.
AAUGAACGCUGGCGGAGUGCUUAAGACAUGCAAGUCGUACGAGAAAGUCCCGCAAGGGAUAAGUAAAGUGGCGGACGGGUGAGUAAUAUUUAGGUAAUGUACCCUGUCGCUGGGAAUAACUAGGCGAAAGCUUAGCUAAUACCGAAUGAUCCGGGAAGGACUAUGGUCUCUUCUGGUAAAGCCGUAAGGCGCGAUUGGAGCAGCCUAAAUCUCAUUAACUAGUUGGUAGGGUAAUGGCCUACCAAGGUUUCGAUGAGUAGCUGGUCUGAGAGGACGAUCAGCCACACUAGUACUGAAACACGGACCAGACUCCUACGGGAGGCAGCAGUGGGGAAUAUUGCACAAUGGGCGAAAGCCUGAUGCAGCAAUGCCGCGUGUGUGAAGAAGGCCUGCGGGUUGUAAAGCACUUUCGGUAGGGAAGGAUUAUGACGGUACCGUACAGAAGAAGCACCGGCUAACUACCGUGCCAGCAGCCGCGGU